ACAACUCUUGGCAAUGGAUAUCUCAACUUUCAUAUCGAUGAAAAACAAAUGAAAUGCAAUACUUGGUGUGAAUUUUAGAAUCUUAUGAACCUUCGAGUCCUUGAAUGCAAGUUGUGCCUUAAGCCAUUACACCAAGGGUAGGCCUGCCUAGGUUUCAUGCAUCAUUGACCCCUUUAACCCCCUGCCCAUUAGGCUCCAGGUGAAGGGAUGAAAGAUAGCCUUAUGUGUCUCGUCAGUUGUGGUUGGCCUAAAAGUGAGUCUCUUAUAAUGAAAGCACCAUCACUAUCAGUGGUAAAGCUCCCAGUGUGCCUCAUCUCUAGUAAUGUGCACUCAUUGUCCAUUCAGACCUCAUCAACCUCUGCAUCACUUGAUCAUUGCUUGCAUCAUGACCCUAGGUCAGGCGGGAUUACCCAUUGAGUUUAAGCAUAUCAAUAAGUGGAGGAAAAAAAACUUACCAGGAUUCUCUUUGUAAUAGUGAGUGAACCAAAAAGAGCCCAGCUUAAGAAUUGGUCACCCUUAGCAUCUAAUUAUAGUAUGAAAAAGCAUCCUCAAUGAUGGACCAAGCCCAAGUCCUCUAAAAGUAGGUACACAUAGAAGGUGAAAGCCCAAUUGUGUAUGGACCCCAUUACACUAUGAGGCACUAUCUGCAAGUUAGGUUAUUUGGGAAUACAACCCCAAUCGAGCAGUAAAUUUCAUCAAGGCUGAAUUCAAGUGAGAAACUAAUAGCAAACAAGUACCACGAAGGAAAGAUGAAAAAGACUUUGAAAAGAAAGUUAAAGAGUGCUUGAAAUUGUUGGAAAGGAAGCAGAUGACGGUCAACAAUAUGCCUCAGUCAGAUCUCACUAGUCCACUGAUUGGCUGAUGGCAGCAGCCCAAGCCCAAGCUUCAAUAUGCCCAUAGAGAUGUCAUCAUCACAAUCAUGGAAUGUAGUAUGCUCUGUCUCAACAUGUUUUAGCACCUAUGUGCUCCCAACAUUAGCCUGUGAGCUUCCCAUCCAGCCUAUCUUGAAACAUGGACGAAUGGCUCUGAUAUGUGUGUGAGUCAACAGGCUAGAAAGCUCAGAAGGCAUAAAAAAGCUAAUUUACAAGAUCCCUCACAGGUGCACCUCUGACCAACCUUGAUCUUUUAAGAAAGGUUUGAGUAUAAGAUGCUUAUCAAGACCUAAAAGAUGGUGAACUAUGCCUGAAUGGGGCAAACCAGAGUAAACUUUAGUGAAAGCCCAUAAUAAUAGUAAUGUGUAAAUUACUCGUCUGACUUGGGUAUAGGGGUGAAAAACUAAUCGAAUUGUCUAGUAGCUAGUUUCCUCUGAAGUUUUCCUCAUGAUAGCUAGAGUCUAUUGUGAAUUCUAUCGGGUUAAGCCAAUGAUUAGAGGCAUUGAGAGCGCAACACCCUUAACCUAUUCUCAAACUUGAAAUGAGUAGAAUGGCAUGAUUGCUUUAUUGAGCCACUCCAUGAAAUUGAGACCUCCAAGUGGGCCAUUUUUGGUUAGAAGAAUUAGUGAUACGGGAUGAACAGAAAGCCAGAUUAUGAUGCCCAACUGUGCACUAACCUAAAACCCAUAAAGAGUGGUAGUUGAUUAAGACAGUAGGAUGGUGGUCAUGGAAGUCAAAAUCUGCUAAGAAGUUUGUAACAACUCACUUGCUGAAUCAACUAACCUAAAAAAUGGAUGGUGCUUAAGUGUGCAACCUAUACCUAGAUAUCGGGGCAAGGGCUAGGCCACAAUGAGUAGAAAGGCAUGACAGUCAUCGUAAAACUAAAGGUACAAACACGAGCAGAGUGAUUAUCAGUGUAGAUCUUAGUGGUAAUAGCAAAUAUUCAAAUGAAAACUUUAAAGACAGAAGAGGGGAAAUAAUCCAUGUGAAUGGUACUUGCACAUGGGUUAGUCAUCCCAAGAGAUGGAGGAAGCCCAUCUGAUAGCACAUAAAGCACGAGUUUUAAAGGGAAUCAGGUAAAAUUUCUUGAACUAGGAUGCUACAGCUGAUGGCAACAUUAAGGAGUCCAAAGAUGUCGACAGAGGCUUUGGGAAGAGUUAUCUUUUUUGUUUAAUGGCCUUUUCACCCUUAAAACGGCCUAGCUAGAGCAAGUUAUCACGUGUCGACUGGGGAUGGACUUGGAACAGCUCUUUUGGGGGCCUUUUCUGAGUAAUAAAUAGUCAACUUAAAACUAGUACGGACAAAAAAAAUCUGACUAUUUAGUUAAAACAAAGCAUUAGAUGGUCCCUAUGGAUGGUCACAUAAUGUGAUUUUUGCUUAGUGCUUUAAAUGUCAAUGUGAAUAAAUUCAACCAAGCAAGAGAAAAUAGCAGAAGUAACUAUGAGUCUCUUAAGGUAGCUAAAUGCCUCAUCAUCUAAUUAGUGAUGCACAUGAAUGGAUUAAUAAGAUUCCCACUAUCCCUAUCUAUUAUCCAAUAAAACCAUAGCCAAGGGAAUAGGCUUGAUAGAAUCAACAGGGUAAGAAAACCCUGUUGAGCUUGACUUUAGUCUGACUUUGUGAAAUGACAUGAAAAGUGUAGGAUAAGUGGAAGUCCUCAAGCAAAAUUGAAUUACUACUACUUUUAAUGUUAUUUUACUUAUUCCAUGAAUUGAAUGUAGGGUAUGACCCCCUUCUUUUAUACCCAAGACCAACCUCGAUUGGUUGAUCUGUGCAGAAGACAUUGUCGAUAAAGAGUUUGGCUAGGGUGGCACAUCUGUUAAAAGAUAACGAAGGUGUCCUAAGAUGAGUUCAACGAGAAUAGAAAUCUUAUGUGCAACAAAAAGGUAAAAGCUCAUUUGAUUUUGAUUUUUAGUAUAAAUAUGAACCAUGAAAGUGUGGCCUAUCGAUCCUUUAGACUUUUGAAAUUCUAAGCUAGAGGUGCUAGAAAAGUUACCAUAGGGAUAACUGGCUUAUGGUAGCUAAGUGGUCAUAGCGACAUUGCUUUUUGAUCCUUUAAUGUUGGCUCUUCUUAUCAUUGUGAAGUAGAAUUCAUCGAGUGUUAGAUUGUUCACCCACAAAUAGGAAACGUGAGUUGGGUUUAAACCAUCAUGAGAUAGGUUAGUUUUACCUUACUGAUGGCAGUGUCACAAUAGUAAUUCAACCUAGUACAAGAGGAACCAUUAAUUUGCACAAUUGGUCAUCAUGCUUGGUUAAGAUGCUAAUGGCAUGAAGCUACCAUUGUGUUGGAUUAUGACUGAACACCUCUAAGUCAUAAUCCAAGCUACAAGGAAUACACGUGCUUGUCACUCAAUUGCUAACCCAUAGUAACAGCUCAUGGCCUCUAAGGGCACAUGUCGUAGGUGUAACCCCCACAGUAGACAAACUGAGAGGGCUUUCUUGGAUCUCAAUUCCUACUGAGUGGUAGGUAGAAUC
RNAcentral lists this ribosomal RNA (3344 nucleotides) under Durio zibethinus. RNAcentral's name for it is "eukaryotic LSU rRNA". The stretch from base 387 to 3344 matches the Rfam family "Eukaryotic large subunit ribosomal RNA". The record is from RNAcentral. Lineage: Eukaryota; Viridiplantae; Streptophyta; Magnoliopsida; Malvales; Malvaceae.